UGCAGUCGAACGAGGUAGCAAUACCUAGUGGCGGACGGGUGAGUAACACGUGGGAAUCUGCCUUCAGAUGGGGGAUAGCAAACCGAAAGGUUUAUUAAUACCGCAUAUGUGUGUAUCCCGACAGGGGUGCAUAUGAAAGGAGCAAUCCGUCUGAAGAUGAGCCCGCGCCCGAUUAGCUAGUUGGUAGGGUAAAGGCCUACCAAGGCGACGAUCGGUAGGUGGUCUGAGAGGAUGAUCACCCACAAUGGGACUGAGACACGGCCCAUACUCCUACGGGAGGCAGCAGUGGGGAAUUUUACGCAAUGGGCGAAAGCCUGACGUAGCGACACCGCGUGAGCGAAGAAGCCCUUUGGGGUGUAAAGCUCUGUCAGCUGGAACGAAACAAAUGACGGUACCAGCAGAGGAAGCAUCGGCUAACUACGUGCCAGCAGCCGCGGUAAGACGUAGGAUGCGAGCGUUGUCCGGAUUUAUUGGGCGUAAAGAGUUCGUAGGUGGUUUGUUAAGUCCGAUGUUAAAUCCCGAGGCCCAACUUCGGAGGUGCAUUGGAUACUGGCAGACUGGAGUGCAGUAGAGGCAAGCGGAAUUCCCAGUGUAGCGGUGAAAUGCGUAGAUAUUGGGAAGAACACCAGUGGCGUAAGCGGCUUGCUGGGCUGUAACUGACACUGAGGAACGAAAGCCAG
This 680-nucleotide ribosomal RNA is filed under the name uncultured bacterium. Its description in RNAcentral is "bacterial SSU rRNA". It matches the Rfam family "Bacterial small subunit ribosomal RNA", at positions 56 to 763 of the family's 1533-position model. The record is from RNAcentral.